RNAcentral lists this small RNA (29 nucleotides) under Bombyx mori (domestic silkworm). RNAcentral's name for it is "ovarian small RNA-18278". The record is from RNAcentral. Lineage: Eukaryota; Metazoa; Arthropoda; Insecta; Lepidoptera; Bombycidae.
UAAAGACAGUUGUACUUUGAGAUCCCGAU